Non-coding RNA from Paralichthys olivaceus (Japanese flounder), 877 nucleotides. Lineage: Eukaryota; Metazoa; Chordata; Actinopteri; Pleuronectiformes; Paralichthyidae. The record is from RefSeq and is a predicted model, not a curated record.
UUCCAUGUACUCUUCCAUAAACAUCUCCAGACCUGACUGCAGCUUGGUUUUGGGGGUUUGGGGGUUGCCAAGUUCCUGGGGGAGUCAAUUUAUGGGUGGUUCUCCUCAACCAAAGAAUUUGACAUGAUCGAAAAUGCAGUGCCUCAUUUCCUCAUCUCUGAGUCAGACACCCUGCCUUUAAGGAGACGUCCGUCAGUGUCUGUGAUCAAAGAUAAUCAUCCACAGACAGUGAACUUCACAGGACAGAGAACACAAAUGUGGCACGCUUCAAGUAUCUUUAGUACAUGACAGCGCUCCUUGCUUCCUUCUGCACAGCCUUGGGCUUGUCUGCUUCCCAUUCCAACAUGCAGGUCCUCAUUACCUGAUUGGACGCCACUGAUUACCUGCCAACUGGAUUGGCUGCAGGUAUUCAUCAUCUGUGAUGACUGGGCCAAUUUAGAGGCCGAUCCUAAUCAGGGUUGUUGAGGGACAGGAGAGCAUCGCAGCAGCAGCAGCAGGCCUGGUUCGAAGUUCUCCACAGGAAGUUAACUCCUCACUGUACAGUGCAAGGACUAUGUGUUUCCCGACCAACACUGGCAAACAUCAGGUCUCCGUGUGUGACUGUACAAAGUCUUCCUCCAGGGCUGUUUUGUUGAUGCCUGUUUGAAAAGGUGUUGAAAAAGGAAUCACCCUCUGGAGGCAACUAAAGGUGUGAACAUCAUGAAACAACGUGAACUGCACGGGGACCAAAACUGUGAGGCAUCCAGCCAUCUAUCACCCCUUCAGGACAAAUACCAGCUGAGCCAGUCCAGCAGGCCCAGUCGCCAGGUCACAGCCAGGAGGACCAGAAGCAGAGGAGCCCAUGGGGCCCGGGGCCAGCGGCUGGAGAGGCAGCUGA